Molecule: unclassified non-coding RNA, 1932 nt
Filed under: uncultured fungus
Lineage: Eukaryota; Fungi
Description: sequence contains 18S rRNA gene, ITS1, 5.8S rRNA gene, ITS2, 28S rRNA gene
Rfam family: Eukaryotic large subunit ribosomal RNA (bases 876-1932)
Source: RNAcentral
GGAAGGAUCAUUAACACGUAUCCAAACGUUAAACCCCCCUGUGAACCUUUACCUGUACUCCUACGUCCGUUAGAAAAAGCAGCAAUCCCUGGUAAAUCAUCGCCGAACAGUUUUCGAUUCAGGGAUGUCUGCAAGGAGCGUGGAUGUUGUGCGAAGCAAGUGGCCUGGCAUCCCCAAGCAGUUAGUGUCUGAAAGUGUCAUUAACUGUGCAAGGAUGACGCAGUCACGAUCGUUGGAGGCCCACACGGCCGACGACCGGGUCACUGGGCGCAAGCCCCCUUAUCACAAACCCUUAUAGCUAGACGGGACGCGUGAAAUCCGCAGUCCACCAAAAACCGAACAACUGUUAACAAUGGAAAGAACGCAGCGAAAUGCGAUACGUAAUGCGAAUUGCAGAAUUCAGUGAAUCAUCGAAUCUUUGAACGCAAAUUGCGCUCUCGGGUUACCCCCAAGAGCACACCUCUCUGAGUGUCGGUUUAACCUCAUGUCACCAAUUUAUUGGUGUACGACAGUCUGAGGGUAAGGGGUCUUGUACUUCUUUCCCUUUAAAUCUCAGCCGCACGACUGUGUGUGUUCGUGGCAAGUUGCUUUCACUUAACUGUGAAUCCAAUCCGCAAACCCUAUGUCGAGUAGCCAAAAGAAACAUAUGAAACAGGGGUGUGAACUUGAAAGUGUUGCUUUUAUGAUGAACUGGAUGGAUGGAUGGGAAUGGUGGAUUGGCUGAGCAAUGCUGGAAUGGCGACUGGGUUGUUCUGAAAGUGUUCAACUUUGUUACUGAUCUGGCGUGUUUGGACCGACUGCUUGACCUGACUGUCUGGCCUAUUUGUUGUGGAUGCUUUGUUUUCGAGGGAACGGCUUUGUGUCAUCUAUGAAUUAGACCUCAGAUGAAGUGGGAAGACCCCCUGAAUUUAAGCAUAUUAUUAAGGGGAGGAAAAGAAACUAACAAGGAUUCCCCUAGUAACGGCGAGUGAAGCGGGAAGAGCUCAAAUUUAAAAUCCACUGGUCUAACAGCCUGUGGAGUUGUAAUCUAGAGAGGCUCUCUCAGUUAUAAGUCCCUUGAAACGGGGCAUCAAAGAGGGUGAGAAUCCCGUAUUUGAGCCGGAGCUAAGUACGUACGAGGAGUUUUCUAAGAGUCGCGUUGCUUGGGAGUGCAGCGCUAAUUGGGUGGUAAAGUUCAUCUAAAGCUAAAUACUGGCGAGAGACCGAUAGCGAACAAGUACCGUGAGGGAAAGAUGAAAAGAACUUUGAAAAGAGAGUUAAAAAGUACUUGAAAUUGUUAACAGGGAAGGGGAGUCAACCAGUCAUUUCUAAGCUUCAUUCGCCUUUCCUUCGGGAGGGGUUACUUGAGGCUAAGAAGGGUCAGCAUCACUUAGACUGUCUUCGCAGAAACUGUAUGAGUUGGUGCGUUUCUUCGGAUUCGUUUAACUUGUGUAGCCUACGUUGACGCUGGGUGAGGAGUGAUAACCCCCCACCUUCGGGUGUCGGCACUCUGAGGCCUGUUUGCCCUAGCGCGUGAGAGAACAAAGUUCUGUCUGUGCGAAAGGUGAAUACUGCUUUGGAUGUGCCAGAUGGAGGGUUCGCGAUGCAGACGAAAUGGUUGUCUUCCACCCGUCUUGAAACACGGACCAAGGAGUCUAACAUAUAUGCGAGUAUUUGGGUGACAAACCCUGAUGCGUAAUGAAAGUAAAGAGCCGAAAGGCUUGAGGUAGGAAUGCCUCGGGUGGGAGGCACUAUCGACCGAUCGUUCGCUUGCGGAAGAUUUGAGUAAUAGCAUAUCUGUUGGGACCCGAAAGAUGGUGAUCUAUGCCUGAACAGGGUGAAGCCAGGGGAAACUCUGGUGGAAGCUCGUAGCGAUACUGACGUGCAAAUCGUUCGUCUGAUUUGGGUAUAGGGGCGAAAGACUAAUCGAACCAUCUAGUAGCUGGUUCCCUC